CAGCAGCCGCGGGAAUACAGAGGAUGCAAGCGUUAUCCGGAAUGGUUGGGCGUAAAGCGUGCGCAGGCGGUUAUAUAAGUCAGUUGUGAAAUCCCCGGGCUCAACCUGGGAACUGCAUUUGAGACUGUAUGGCUAGAGUGUGUCAGAGGGGGGUAGAAUUCCACGUGUAGCAGUGAAAUGCGUAGAUAUGUGGAGGAAUACCGAUGGCGAAGGCAGCCCCCUGGAAUAACACUGACGCUCAUGCACGAAAGCGUGGGGAGCAAACAGGAUUAGAUACCCCUGUAGUCCCUGUCUCUUAUAC
Molecule: ribosomal RNA, 301 nt
Filed under: uncultured bacterium
Lineage: Bacteria
Description: partial 16S ribosomal RNA
Rfam family: Bacterial small subunit ribosomal RNA
Source: RNAcentral